AGUGAACGCUGGCGGUAGGCCUAACACAUGCAAGUCGAACGGCAGCACAGUAAGAGCUUGCUCUUACGGGUGGCGAGUGGCGGACGGGUGAGGAAUACAUCGGAAUCUACUUUUUCGUGGGGGAUAACGUAGGGAAACUUACGCUAAUACCGCAUACGACCUACGGGUGAAAGCAGGGGAUCUUCGGACCUUGCGCGAUUGAAUGAGCCGAUGUCGGAUUAGCUAGUUGGCGGGGUAGAGGCCCACCAAGGCGACGAUCCGUAGCUGGUCUGAGAGGAUGAUCAGCCACACUGGAACUGAGACACGGUCCAGACUCCUACGGGAGGCAGCAGUGGGGAAUAUUGGACAAUGGGCGCAAGCCUGAUCCAGCCAUACCGCGUGGGUGAAGAAGGCCUUCGGGUUGUAAAGCCCUUUUGUUGGGAAAGAAAAGCAGCAGGUUAAUACCCCGCUGUCCUGACGGUACCCAAAGAAUAAGCACCGGCUAACUUCGUG
This 492-nucleotide ribosomal RNA is filed under the name uncultured bacterium. Its description in RNAcentral is "partial 16S ribosomal RNA". It matches the Rfam family "Bacterial small subunit ribosomal RNA", at positions 29 to 507 of the family's 1533-position model. The record is from RNAcentral.